CCUACGGGAGGCAGCAGUGAGGAAUAUUGGUCAAUGGGCGCAAGCCUGAACCAGCCAAGUCGCGUGAGGGAGGACGGCCCUACGGGUUGUAAACCUCUUUUGCCGGGGAGCAACGGGCGUCACGUGUGGCGCCACUGAGAGUACCCGGAGAAAAAGCAUCGGCAAACCCCGUGCCAGCAGCCGCGGUAAUAGGGGGGAUGCGAGCUUUAUCGGGAUUUUUUGGUUUAAAGGGGUGCGUAGGCGGAUCGUUAAGUCAGGGGUAAAAUUGAGGGGCUCAAGCCCUUCCCGCCAUUGAAACUGGCGCUCUUGAGUGGAAGAGACGUAUGCGGAAUGCGUGGUGUAGCGGUGAAAUGCAUAGAUAUCACGCAGAACCCCGAUUGCGAAGGCAGCAUGCCGGCUUCCGACUGACGCUGAAGCACGAAAGCGUGGGGAUCGAACAGGAUUAGAUACCCUUGUAGUC
RNAcentral lists this ribosomal RNA (460 nucleotides) under uncultured bacterium. RNAcentral's name for it is "partial 16S ribosomal RNA". It matches the Rfam family "Bacterial small subunit ribosomal RNA", at positions 338 to 795 of the family's 1533-position model. The record is from RNAcentral.